RNAcentral lists this long non-coding RNA (223 nucleotides) under Gossypium raimondii (Peruvian cotton). RNAcentral describes it as "long non-coding RNA (GRAI_LNC007226)". Lineage: Eukaryota; Viridiplantae; Streptophyta; Magnoliopsida; Malvales; Malvaceae. The record is from RNAcentral.
GGCUGAGGCGUGUGAAGGCAUCAUACGUGUGCGAAAGAGAUUAGAGAGGCGCUACUGCUGCGGCGCUAGGAGCCAUACUGCUAGGGUUUCUUUGAAACUUUUUUUUGGGCUUGUAUUGGGCUAAUGGUUUGGGUAGUUUAGGAUCUGUUUGGGUUAUUGGGCUAUUUUGGAUUGUUAUUAAUUUUUGUUUGGUUUUUAUUUUUUUACUACGGGCAGGGCAAAU